This is a non-coding RNA of Anas platyrhynchos (mallard), 4427 nucleotides long. NCBI's taxonomy places the organism in Eukaryota, Metazoa, Chordata, Aves, Anseriformes, Anatidae. The record is from RefSeq and is a predicted model, not a curated record.
UUUCUUUUUACAGGCAAAUUAGGUUAUGGUGUGCUAAUUAGCCCAGCUUUAUGUAAUGAGCUUAAUUAAAAGGAAACUCAGCCGGUAACAAACCAACAAAAUAUCUAAUUGUUCUUCUAAUUAAGGCAGGUGGGAAAGGCUUUUUCAGAGCUGGUGGAGGCCUCUCUCCCGGAUUUUUUCUUCUUCUUAUUGUUUUUGGGUGUUUCUUUUUCAAGGGUAGGUCUGGGUAGGCUAGUGGUGAUCAAUGUGCAACAUUUACUGGGGUUCCACUGUUUUUACGCCUUUCUGGACGGAUCCUUCCCUCUGUUCUCUGCACUGUUGACCGUCCCUGCUGGAGCUGGAGGUCCACAAGAGAACGGCCCUUUUCCUGCAUCUUCAAAUUUACCAUCGAAACUUUGGCGAUUCAGCACAUCGGACAAACUGGGUCAGGCCUGUUCUACCCCCAGGUGGGGCAGCUGGGGAUACAUGGCACGGAGAAUCCCAUGUAUACUCCGCACGUGAUGCUCUUGGAUGGGGGUGGCUAUGCAGACUAGCAGAAAACCAGGCACUUUGGAGACUUUGCUGGUGGAAACAGAUCCUUUGAAUCUUUAACGGGUAUUUAGAAGGCCAAGUUCUAAGUUUUGUCUGUACUUUUUAGCAGGUGAAGGCUCAGAUCCAUCAGGAUAAUUGGGUGCCUGACUUCUAUAUUGAAUCCAAUAAAUUUGGGACCUACAAGCAUCAGUGGACAUCAGGAAUUUUCACUUUUCAAAAGGGGACUUUGACUGCUUUUGGAAGACCAAAGCUGGACAUUUGCUCACUUUCCAUGCGUGCUUACACCCCUAACUCCUGCCUGAUACCAAUUUCUGCAGGAAGACAGUGCUAGGGUUGUUCCUGCAGGCUUGGCGUUUGUAUGUUUGUGCCAAAAAAUCUUUGGCACUGGCAGUCCAAUCUCAGGGACAUAAAUGAUGCAGGGGAGAGUGUGUCUGGCUGACAGAGACCCCCAUGAUGAGCAGGAGAUGCCCAGAGUGCUAGCAGCAGCUCUGCAAUCGUGAGCUGAUGUUAUUCAUAGCCACAAUUAUCAGAUUGGCUCAAGAAGUGAGGAGAGGCAUGCAGCUCAGUUGUUUUUUAAAAAAAACUUUCAUUGCCAGUACUCCUCCUGCCCAGUAAGUAACUAAAAUCAGAAUAUUAGUAAGGAAUGAUAAAAGAAGGAAUAAAACUCAUUGUUACUGAUCUUCCAGGACGGACAGCUGUCUAUUUGCACAGGCUUAUGAGAGGUUCUUCGAGACCAGUUCCCCAUUAUCUGAGGCAAACAUGAAUCUCCUCUUCUCAGACACUUCCUGUAGGUUUUCUGAGAGAUCCCAAGAAGCCUGCAGGUCAGAGGUUGAAAUUCAUGGUCACAGGCACAUACAUCAGAGCAAAUGUCAAUCCUAGAGAUCAGAUCUGCUUGAUCAAGGACUAAGAUGGGUGGAUAUUGGCAGUGCCACCUCACUUCAGUGUUUCUUACAGUGACAUAAAUACUAGAGGCUGGACAUAGUCAUUUCUUUAUUUGAGGCAGCGGGAGUUGAAAGACCCAGAAUGGUACAGAAAGUGCAGUUCUGUGGCUCAGCUCAGCUUCAGGCUAAUUACUGAAAAAAUAAGCAAACACACCUGAGAAAGCAGUAUGUCAGAGCCUGGAAAGUUUUGCAGGGACUUAGAGUACCAAGAGUUCACUUGGAGCUGGACUUAUUACAGCGAUUGUGUUCCUAUAUGGUGGUAAAGAAAAGACGCUGCAGAUCAACUACCUGAGUAAUCGCUUCCUUCAGAGAGGUGGAAACACCAGACUUUGGAAUCUGAGCAGUGCAAGUGCCUGGAAAGACUCUGAAAACAUGAUAUCCCUCUGGAAAAACUGUAAGUAUUACUCUUGUCUGAAUGAUUAACUUUAUUCUAACAGAUUGCUCAAAGAUACUAAGGAGUGGCAGGAGUGGAUACACUAAUGCCUAGAAAUGUAGAGGUUUUUGCAACCUUUCAUGAAUGUUUCACUUCCUUCCCUGCCCCUUUUUUCCUCUCAUCUAACAGUCCUGAAUGUUUGCCUUAUUUCUUAAAGAAAAAAAUUGCCCUGCUUUAGCCCUGCAUGUUUCUGCAUGGGAAGGGUGGACCACAACAUAGUUGAUCUGCUAGACCUCUGGAGGAGGCACGUCUCAGGGAAAGGAGCUCAGAUUCUGUUCCCCAUCUUGUCUCAUGGGGUGAGAGCGCAGUGAUUUAAGUCCCUGGACUGGAGACAGGCUUGCAGUUGAGUGCCUUGACUGACCAGAAGGCUCUUCUGGAGCAGGAGGAUCCAGAGGAUCACAGGAUCCCCAACCACAGCAGGGCUGUGUGGAAGCAGAGUGGCUGCAAUGCUGCAGCUCUGUUGGGAAGACACAAGAUGCCCACCUGUCAUGUAGAAAAAGCCAAAAGGUCACCACGCUGUUUUUCUUUUUUGAGGGAGAGAGCUUCUGAUGAGUUUCUAACCUGUCCCGCCAGUUGUUUCCCCAAGUGCUGGGAAUUACCAGUUGCAUCUGGUCUAGCAGGAGCCAGCUCUGCCUUCCUCGUUUUUCCAUCUGUAAAACCUGGAUGUUACUGGGGCCACCAUAAAGAUUGACUAGAUAGGUCCGUAUCCUGAAGUCAUUUCUCCCAGUGACUUCAGUGAGAUGCCCAGCCCAGAACAAUGGCAGGAUACACGACCCUAAACAUUUCUGCAGUGCUUUGAAAGAUGAAAAGCAGUGACUUUUCUACCUAUGUCAGUGGAGGGGCAGAGAAACUUUUCAUGAUGUUUACAGCAGACACUGCAGACAUUAUACAUGAAAACAUGGGAAAUGGCGCACUUUUCUUGUAUAGAGAUAAUCUUUAAUAGAUGGCAAUGAGGAAAUAGAGGCAUUCAUACACAAAAGCCUACCUCACAGAGGGGUACGUUUCCCUGACUAACAUGGUCACAGCCACAGAUGUUUCCUCCAGAGCCAGAACUGCUGCAUGGGGCUGUUCCUUCUAAGGAACCGGAAUGAGAGAAAUCCCAGCGCAUGCUUUUCCUCCCCCUCCUCAACCCUUGCUGCAGUUGUAGAGAAAAAUGCAGAGCCAGUGCUAGAUUUUCAAUGGAAGCAUUUUCCUAAAAAUGUUUGUUUCUCCCUUUGGAGCACUGUAAGACGAUUAAAUUUAAAACAAAAAAAAGACAUGACUUGAAGCCAGUAUUUAACCAUCCCUUUCCCCAGAUAUUUUAUUGGUCUCCAAUGAUAAUGAGCUAAGUCCUCUGUCCUUAAAGACUGCUUUCUGGGAGGGAACCAGGGACAAAUGUGAAUGGAGGCGCUGGAGGGCUGGAUGGGGACCUGGCUGUGACACAGGAGCAGGAUUUGCUGUCUUCCCACCCUGAUGUUGAGACUUUUUCUUCCUUUUCUCUCCAUGGAAACAAACAAUCUCUGACUCUUGUCACUCAGAGGAGACUCCACAGCAAGAUGGCUUGUUUACUCGCUGCUGUCUUUGGUGGAUUGAAGCUGUGUGGCCUUGUCCUUGUUCCAGGAAAUGCAUGGACAUAGCUGUCUGAAGGAAAACCCUCAUGAUUGUAUAGUUUUCAGUGCCGAGUGGCAUUUAGCCACCUCGUUUUUAUUGUUAGCAGAUCACAAUGCUGCCUCGCUGCUCUGUGCCACACACCACGCUGUGACUAAUAUCAUUCAACAAAAGAAAAACCCCUCCAAAGUGACCAUGUUCUCCAGCCUGGUGGAGCUGGUGGAGGCUCCAUUCAUCCGAUACUGUUUUCUCUUUGCAUCUCUCCCACAAGUGGGGAUAGAGGAAGAGCAGAGGGGGCAGAAUCGCUCCGGGAAGCUCAUACACACGCUGUAACACCUAGGGUGGUCGCUGCUGGACUCUGCACCCUCUCAGCUGCCAUGGAAGUUGAGCUGGGUUUGCUCACGCUGACCAGCCUCCGGAGCUGUUCAGCAUCUUUCCCCAUUGAACCCUUAAAAAGAGGGGCAUGAAAUAACAACAUCCUAACUUGUUUGUGCCAUGAAAGGAGCUGGAAAGAAUGCAUCGAACCACAUGACAAGCGAGGACAUCAGGCUGCACAGAGAAUAGAAAGACCUCAUUUUUAAUUACUUCUGAACAAAGUUGGCUCAGUAAAGUAUUUCCCAUUGUACUGCUGAACUUUUCUUCUCAUCACACAGCAGUGAAACACAGGCUCUUCUGCUGCUGCAAGUGAACUAAAAUCAAGUCUGUGUUAGGGAUCACUUCAUUUCCUAUUAAAUGCAGACUGCACAUCUAUCACAGGCAUUUUAGACUUUUUUUCUUCAGCACCCAGGCACUUCUUUCUCAUUGUAAAUGUUUUUAUCAUGAGAGUCAUAAAAAGCAAGGAUAUCCCACCAUGCAUACAGAAGGAGGCUGGGGGUUAAGCGCCUAGAAUUACAUUCCCUCCAUUGUUCUGGCCAUGAGCGGUCACCAAAAGGCAA